Molecule: ribosomal RNA, 210 nt
Filed under: uncultured Aminivibrio sp.
Lineage: Bacteria; Thermotogati; Synergistota; Synergistia; Synergistales; Aminobacteriaceae
Description: partial 16S ribosomal RNA
Rfam family: Bacterial small subunit ribosomal RNA
Source: RNAcentral
CGCGCAGGCUGUGCUGCAAGUCAGCUGUGAAAUGUCUGGGCUUAACCCGGGCAUGCGGUUGAGACUGCAGUGCUGGAGUGCUGUAGAGGCAAGUGGAAUUCCCAGUGUAGCGGUGAAAUGCGUAGAUAUUGGGAAGAACACCGGUGGCGAAGGCGACUUGCUGGGCAGCAAACUGACGCUGAGGCGCGAAAAGCCAGGGGGAGCAAAACG